UUUUUUAGGUUGCUGAAGGUAGAAGGUGCAUUAUCUUAUCAGCUGAAGGAGUUCUUCUCUUGGACUUUUAGAAAGCAUACUUUCUAUUUUCAAUGUUUUGCUAAUUCUAAGUUAACAUGUUAUUUAACUACACAAAUGCAGUUCAGAAUACACUUAAACUUAACAUGAAAAUCCAAGUAGGGGAGCUAGACGGAGUCAAGAGAGUGAUCACAGUCAACUUCAGCCUUCACAUUUGCGAGGUAUAUUGUUGGAAUAAAUGCGGUCCUUUAAUACAAUUCUAGUUUAGUGCAUCAAGUUUUAACCAAUUUAUUGCAGAAAACCCAAUCCGGUGCUCUCGGUAAUCCUCGUUUCUUUCUUCCCUGAUCCAUUUUCCCCUAUUCGGUGAUUUUUUUUAUUUAGAUUUUAUAUUUAUUUUUUUGUUAUUGGGUUGCAGUUUCGGUAAUUGGUUUAAUUAUAAUGGCUACGCUGUUUCUGCACGAGAUGGGUUACUAUCUCACAACUUAAACUGUUCAUGAGAUGUCAGUGGACUUGAAUCGUGGAGAGACUCUUCCGAUUCAUAUAAAUAUGACACUCCCUUCUUUACCUUGUGAUUUUUUGAGUGUGGAUGCUAUUGAUAUGUCGGGCAAGCAUGAGGUGGAUCUUGAUACUAACAUAUGGAAAGGACUUUAAAGCUAAACAACCUGCCCAUUGCCCCUUCAUGUUUUCCUGCCUUGUCUUCAUCUGAGGAAGAGUUAAAGAAGCACAUGGUAGAGGAGGCAGGUAGCUCACAUAAUUCUCAAGCCAUCAAAGAUUCUACAAGCUGAAAGAAUGAUACUUAUUCAAAGGUUAAAGGGCCCGAAAAGAGAGGACGGGUGCGUUGUCCUGGAAAGCUUCCAUGACAUGCCAGUUUUAGCUCCAAUGCUGAUAAUAGAGUUGCAACAUUAGAGAAUUUGCUUGGAAAUCUAAUUUCUAUUCUUCAAGUGCGAUUUUCUGAAGAUCGACAAGUUAACGAGGUCUUAUGAGUUAUAACCGAAGAGGUUUGAUUUUGUGUCACCUAUUGACCACAAUCCGGUGAAGUUCAUCUCAAGAUACUCUUCACCUCCCUUUGCUAUACAGAUGUUUACAUGAAAGUGAAGAUACAAGAAUAUUAAAAUAAAAAUAUAUGUGAUUUCUUUUGUAAGAUUUUAAGUAUAUUGAAUGAAACUUUCUAUGUUGAAAUAUUUGAAUUUAAUGUAAAAUGGGAUAAUUUUUUCA
Molecule: long non-coding RNA, 1233 nt
Organism: Vicia villosa (hairy vetch)
Lineage: Eukaryota; Viridiplantae; Streptophyta; Magnoliopsida; Fabales; Fabaceae
Exons: 5
Source: RefSeq, a predicted model, not a curated record